Molecule: ribosomal RNA, 301 nt
Filed under: uncultured bacterium
Lineage: Bacteria
Description: partial 16S ribosomal RNA
Rfam family: Bacterial small subunit ribosomal RNA
Source: RNAcentral
CAGUCGCCGCGGUAAUACGUAGGUGGCAAGCGUUGUCCGGAAUUAUUGGGCGUAAAGGGCUCGCAGGCGGUUUCUUAAGUCUGAUGUGAAAGCCCCCGGCUCAACCGGGGAGGGUCAUUGGAAACUGGGAAACUUGAGUGCAGAAGAGGAGAGUGGAAUUCCACGUGUAGCGGUGAAAUGCGUAGAGAUGUGGAGGAACACCAGUGGCGAAGGCGACUCUCUGGUCUGUAACUGACGCUGAGGAGCGAAAGCGUGGGGAGCGAACAGGAUUAGAGACCCCAGUAGUCCCUGUCUCUUAUAA